RNAcentral lists this ribosomal RNA (453 nucleotides) under uncultured organism. RNAcentral describes it as "partial 16S ribosomal RNA". It matches the Rfam family "Bacterial small subunit ribosomal RNA", at positions 332 to 801 of the family's 1533-position model. The record is from RNAcentral.
UACACUCCUACGGGAGGCAGCAGUGGGGAAUAUUGGACAAUGGGCGCAAGCCUGAUCCAGCCAUGCCGCGUGAGUGAUGAAGGCCCUAGGGUUGUAAAGCUCUUUCACCGGUGAAGAUAAUGACGGUAACCGGAGAAGAAGCCCCGGCUAACUUCGUGCCAGCAGCCGCGGUAAUACGAAGGGGGCUAGCGUUGUUCGGAUUUACUGGGCGUAAAGCGCACGUAGGCGGACUAUUAAGUCAGGGGUGAAAUCCCGGGGCUCAACCCCGGAACUGCCUUUGAUACUGGUAGUCUUGAGUUCGAGAGAGGUGAGUGGAAUUCCGAGUGUAGAGGUGAAAUUCGUAGAUAUUCGGAGGAACACCAGUGGCGAAGGCGGCUCACUGGCUCGAUACUGACGCUGAGGUGCGAAAGCGUGGGGAGCAAACAGGAUUAGAAACCCUGGUAGUCCCAUGAU